Molecule: small nuclear RNA, 105 nt
Organism: Nannospalax galili (Upper Galilee mountains blind mole rat)
Lineage: Eukaryota; Metazoa; Chordata; Mammalia; Rodentia; Spalacidae
Source: Ensembl
GUUCACUUAGGUAGCACAUGUACUAAAAUUGGAAUGACACAGAGAGGAUCAACAUGGCCACUACACAAGGAUGACAUGAAAAUUCAUGAAGCAUUACAUAGUUUU